ACUACGGGGAGCUGCAGUGAGGAAUAUUGGUCAAUGGCCGGAAGGCUGAACCAGCCAUGCCGCGUGAAGGGCAGGGACCUAGGGGCGUUAAACUUCUUUUGUGCGGGAGCAAGAAUGGUCACGUGUGGCCAGACGAGAGUACCGGACGAAUAAGCAGCGGCUAACGCCGGGGCAGCAGCCGCGGUAAUACGGGGGAUGCAAGCGUUAUCCGGAUUUAUUGGGGUUAAAGGGUGCGUAGGCUGUGAGGUAAGUCAGCGGUGAAAUGCCCCCGCUCACCGGGGUGAAGUGCCAUUGUUACUGCCUUGCUGGCAUGCGGAUGCCGUGGGAGGAAUGUGUGGUGUAGCGGU
Molecule: ribosomal RNA, 347 nt
Filed under: uncultured bacterium
Lineage: Bacteria
Description: partial 16S ribosomal RNA
Rfam family: Bacterial small subunit ribosomal RNA
Source: RNAcentral